AUUGAGGUCCAUCCCAUAGGGGCUUCCAUACUGUAGCCACACAUCAUUGGAAAUGCCUCAUACAAUAGUUGUGUGGUUUUGCUCUACUCACAGGGCUAGUUCUUAGAUCUGUGGGAAGUAACUACAAGACAGUU
Molecule: small nucleolar RNA, 134 nt
Filed under: Castor canadensis (American beaver)
Lineage: Eukaryota; Metazoa; Chordata; Mammalia; Rodentia; Castoridae
Source: RNAcentral